AGAGUUUGAUCCUGGCUCAGCGCGAACGCUGGCGGCGUGCCUAACACAUGCAAGUCGUGCGGAGGGGUGAUGAGCCCCUCAGCGGCAAACGGGUGAGUAACACGUGAGUAACCUGCCCCUGGGAAGGGGAUAACCCUCCGAAAGGGGGGCUAAUACCCUAUAUAGCCGGGGACCACUAAGGUCACCCGGUGAAAGGUAGCCUCUGCCCUUUAUGGGUAUGCUACCGCCCAGGGAGGGGUUCGCGGCCCAUCAGGUAGUUGGUGGGGUAACGGCCUACCAAGCCUAUGACGGGUAGCCGGCCUGAGAGGGUGGCCGGCCACAGUGGGACUGAGACACGGCCCACACCCCUACGGGGGGCAGCAGUGGGGAAUCGUGGGCAAUGGGCGCAAGCCUGACCCCGCGACGCCGCGUGGGGGAUGAAGCCCUUCGGGGUGUAAACCCCUGUCGGGGGGGACGAUGUGUCCUGGGGUGAAUAAUCCCAGGGCAUGACGGUACCCCAGGAGAAAGCCACGGCUAACUGCGUGCCAGCAGCCGCGGUAAUACGCAGGUGGCGAGCGUUGCCCGGAAUUACUGGGCGUAAAGGGUGCGUAGGCGGCCGGACAAGUCGUAGGUUAAAGCCCGGGGCUCAACCCCGGAAAGGCCUACGAUACUGUCUGGCUUGAGGGCUGGAGAGGCUGGCGGAAUUCCCGGUGUAGGGGUGAAAUCCGUAGAUAUCGGGAGGAACACCGGAGGGGAAGCCGGCCAGCUGGACAGUCCCUGACGCUGAGGCACGAAAGCGUGGGGAGCAAACCGGAUUAGAUACCCGGGUAGUCCACGCUGUAAACGAUGGGUGCUAGGUCUGGGGAGGUAAUCUCUCCGGGCCGAAGCUAACGCGUUAAGCACCCCGCCUGGGGAGUACGGCCGCAAGGCUGAAACUCAAAGGAAUUGACGGGGGCCCGCACAAGCGGUGGAGCACGUGGUUUAAUUCGAUGCAGAGCGAAGAACCUUACCCGGGCUUGACAUGCCAGGGUUGUACCCCGGUGGAAACACUGGGGGAGCGUGGGGUUUUCUCACGCGCUCUGGCACAGGUGCUGCAUGGCUGUCGUCAGCUCGUGUCGUGAGAUGUUGGGUUAAGUCCCGCAACGAGCGCAACCCCUGCCCUUAGUUGCUACCGGGUAAAGACGGGCACUCUAAGGGGACUGCCGGGGAUAACCCGGAGGAAGGAGGGGAUGACGUCAAGUCCGCAUGGCCCUU
RNAcentral lists this ribosomal RNA (1233 nucleotides) under hot springs metagenome. RNAcentral's name for it is "bacterial SSU rRNA". It matches the Rfam family "Bacterial small subunit ribosomal RNA", at positions 8 to 1203 of the family's 1533-position model. The record is from RNAcentral.